CUUACUCCUACAAGUCUAUUCAUUUUAGGGGAAAAAAACAAACAACCCAACCAGAUAUUCUAAGAAUGUUAAAACAUAUCUUCUGUCCUUUAAAAACCAGCUGUUUCCUAUUAUUAAGCAAAAAAACCCCAUAUUUCCAUACAGAAACAGCUGGACACAAGGUAGCUAGAGACAGAGUGAAUUAAAAACAUUAUUCUGUUAGAUAAAAUACAGUAAGUCAUUUGCUGUAUUUUCCAAUCCUUACUUAGAGGCAAGUGGUUUUUCAAAUGUACAUGGACAGCUUCUCUGCUGAAGCUGACAGAAAUUCAACUUCUAGCAAAAUAAUGUGUGAUAGACACCCUCAAACCACAUAAUUUCUUCUAUCCUUACUAUCUUAACUCAAUGGACAGAGUGAAUGAUUUUUAAUCCAAAAUAUUUCUAAUUUAUUCCUUUUAUAUUCUAGUGUACAAUUAUUACUCUGUUAGGAUCCUUCUGAUAAUAGCAUUUUCUUUCAGGUCUAUAAUUUGCCUAAAUGUCUUAAGUGCUCUUCAGAUUUUCAACUACUAUUAUUUUUCUAUCAUUUGUUAUGUGCUUUUAUUUUUUUUUUUCAAAAUUCAACAAGAAAAAUAAAUUGCCCUAAUGUAGCAAAAUGACCAUUCCAGUUUUAAAGAAAAAACAGGUUUCUAUUCAUCCAAACUGAGUCAAGCAUAUGUUCCCUUAUAAAGACUAAAGCAGUGACUCAUAAAAUCUUGCACACACUGAUUCCUCCUUCUCCUAGGAGAUGAAGCUACAUGAUUUACCCAAAAGGAUUAAAUGAGGUCACAGCUAUUGAAUACAUGUUAUAACCUCAAACUUCAGGCUGAAUCCCCCCAUGUGCCAGCAUCUCCCCACCGACAACAGAGAAGUCAGUGUAGCCAGAUAGAACCGUGGAUGCCUGCACUGAAGAUAGCCACAUGAGAUCAAGUGAAUCCCCCUAUUACUGGACAGAUUCAGGUAACUGUAUCAAUUCAUAUCACCUUCAUCCAUUUAGUUACCAACUUCUGUUGUCAUUUAACAUGGAAUAAAAGUAUCACUUAACACCA
RNAcentral lists this long non-coding RNA (1061 nucleotides) under Cyanistes caeruleus (blue tit). RNAcentral describes it as "lncRNA (ENSCCEG00000010334.1)". Lineage: Eukaryota; Metazoa; Chordata; Aves; Passeriformes; Paridae. The record is from RNAcentral.